This 1961-nucleotide long non-coding RNA is filed under the name Mus musculus (house mouse). RNAcentral's name for it is "predicted gene, 30165". The record is from RNAcentral. Lineage: Eukaryota; Metazoa; Chordata; Mammalia; Rodentia; Muridae.
UCAAUUAGUAAAGUAGACAAUUUAUUUAGUACCUGGGAGUAGUAGAAAGGCAAAUCUAAUAUCAUGUAGUAUAUUGAUAAUUUUUGUACAUGAAGAAAAAAAAACCAAUUGUUAAACAAAGAGUAUAGUAGGAAAAGAUGCAUAUAAGAAAUUUUAAAGUAGUCAUUCCAGUCGGUGCCAGCUCCGGGUCACUUUGGAUGCGAACUCAGUGGUCAGUCCCACAGUCCUGAGAGGACUCUCCACGAAAUGUUAGGAUCACUGGUGAGUGGAACACAACAUCUGUUCCAAACCAAUUGUGACGGACCUGUGACAUCAGCAGCAAGCACACGGGAGCCCUGACUGACCAGCAGCUCGGGUUCAUUCUGAUCAGUACUGGUAUACCUUGGUUUCCAAAACACCACACAGCCCCAUGGUCCUCAGAGGAGACACCACUUCCAGGUGCUGUAACACGCCCAGGAUCUUAGGAUUCCAGGAUCCCGGGAUAACAGGAGCUUGGUCACACCAGGAUCUCAGGGGCUCAGAGGAAGCUUGACUGCCAAGAACUCUGACACACCCAGAAUCUGAGGUUCACAGGAGCCCAGAAUCACAGGAUCACAGAGAAAGCUGGAAUUUGAGGAGUCCGGAAUCAACCGGGAUUAUAGGAAGGACAGGCUCCAAUCAGAUAUAUUGAGGGCAGCAAGCACUUGAGAUAAUCAGAAAGCAGGAGGCAAGCAUAAGAACAGAAGCAACAGAAACCAAGGUUACUUGGCAUCAUCAGAACCAAACUCUCACACCAUAGCAAGUCCUGGAUACACCAUGACAUCAGAAAAGCAAGAUUCCUAAAGGUUAUAGGCAUAUGUUUCUCGGAAGGUGGAAUGGGAGGAUAAGUUGAUAGGAAUUUCAACAUGAUGGAAAGAGAAUAGCAAACCAAAUCAUCUAUACUGAGUAAGAAUACACAGCAGGUGAUGGUGGAAAUGAAGACCUGUCCAUGUUCAUGAAUCUGAGAAGGAAGAAUGGAUGGAGAGAGAAGAAGACAGGAGAGAGAGAGAGAGAGAGAGAGAGAGAGUCCAUCUUACAUCUUGACUCUUCAUUCAGAAACAAGGAGGUGGGUAGUAUAAUGUCACAGAAGGUAACUUGGAACACGGUGUUUUGUACUUGUACCCAGCAUGACAACUGUUUCUCCCUGGGUGGUGGCAUGCAAGGAAAGAAUCAUGAAGUAAUGUAUCAUGUGGACUUGAACCGGAAGCGUAGGUGUGGAAGUCUUAACUUUCUCCUGACUGUUUACUUUGACCAAGCUCCUUCUCUAGUGCCAUGCCUGCCUGGAUGCUGUCAUGCUUUCCGCCAUGAUAAUAAAGGACUAAACCUCUGAAACUGUAAGUUAACCACAAUGAACUAUCUUUCUUUAUAAGAGUUGCUGUGGUCAUGGUGUCUCCACACAGCAAUAGAAACCCUAACUAAGACACUACCUAUCCAAAUGCUAAUCUCUCUCAGAAUCACCCGGAUACAGAAUAUCUGACCUGGACUAAGUGAAGCUGAGAUAUCAAACUAGCCUCCACAUAGUACCAGAUUAGAGUAUUUUCUCUUAGAAACUAAUGGCUGACAGAGGCAAUUCGGUUAGCAGCUGUAAUGAAAAAGAUAGAAAGAUUUGAUCCAAACCUUUUAACACUGAAGAGCUACUUUUUCCAGUUAUUUAUACAUUUUUGUUUAAAGGCUUCAUUUACAUUCAUUUAUUUAUUUGGGGGCAGGAGGGAAUAUUGGUAGAGUGUGCCAGCGCAUGCUUUUGAACAUCAGAGGACAACUUGUGACAGUCUGCUUUCUCCUUCCAGCAUUUGGGUUCCAGGAUCAAAGUUAGGUCCCCAGGCUUGGCAACAAGUACCUUUGUGUGCUGAUCCAUAUCACCCAUCCUGUUUAAACAAUUUUUAAACAGAAGUUGAAUGUCUUGAAGAUGUGUAUAUGUUCAAAUUAAAACUCUUCAGAAAGAU